UACGGGGGGAGCAAGCGUUGUUCGGAUUUACUGGGCGUAAAGGGCGCGUAGGCGGCGCGACAAGUCACUUGUGAAAUCUCCGGGCUUAACCCGGAGCGGCCAAGUGAUACUGUAGUGCUAGAGUGCGGAAGGGGCUACUGGAAUUCUCGGUGUAGCGGUGAAAUGCGUAGAUAUCGGGAGGAACACCAGUGGCGAAGGCGACUUCCUGGCCUGUUCUUGACGCUGAGGCGCGAAAGCUAGGGGAGCAAACGGG
RNAcentral lists this ribosomal RNA (253 nucleotides) under uncultured bacterium. Its description in RNAcentral is "partial 16S ribosomal RNA". It matches the Rfam family "Bacterial small subunit ribosomal RNA", at positions 524 to 776 of the family's 1533-position model. The record is from RNAcentral.